Molecule: ribosomal RNA, 413 nt
Filed under: uncultured bacterium
Lineage: Bacteria
Description: bacterial SSU rRNA
Rfam family: Bacterial small subunit ribosomal RNA
Source: RNAcentral
GUGCCAGCCGCCGCGGUAAUACGUAGGGGGCGAGCGUUGUCCGGAAUUACUGGGCGUAAAGGGUGCGUAGGCGGCCUUUUAAGUCAGAUGUGAAAGGCUGCGGCUUAACCGCAGGACUGCAUUUGAAACUGGAAGGCUUGAGUGUCGGAGAGGGUAGUGGAAUUCCCAGUGUAGCGGUGAAAUGCGUAGAUAUUGGGAGGAACACCAGUGGCGAAGGCGACUACCUGGACGAUAACUGACGCUGAGGCACGAAAGCUAGGGGAGCAAACAGGAUUAGAUACCCUGGUAGUCCUAGCCGUAAACGAUGGGUACUAGGUGUAGGUGGUUUCGAUACCAUCUGUGCCGCAGUUAACGCAAUAAGUACCCCGCCUGGGGAGUACGGUCGCAAGACUGAAACUCAAAGAAAUUGACGG